Molecule: ribosomal RNA, 227 nt
Filed under: uncultured bacterium
Lineage: Bacteria
Description: partial 16S ribosomal RNA
Rfam family: Bacterial small subunit ribosomal RNA
Source: RNAcentral
GACGAACGCUGGCGGCGUGCUUAACACAUGCAAGUCGAGCGGUAAGGCCCUUUCGGGGUACGACGAGCGGCGAACGGGUGAGUAACACGUGGGUGACCUGCCCUCAGCUCUGGGAGUAAGCCUGGGAAACGUGGGUCGUAAUACUGGAUAUGACUCCACGGUGCAUGUCGUGGGGUGGAAAGCCUUGUGCGGCUGAGGAUGGGCCCGCGGCCUAUCAGCUUGUUGGU